ACUCCCAACGGGAGGCAGCAGUGGGGAAUAUUGCACAAUGGGCGCAAGCCUGAUGCAGCCAUGCCGCGUGUAUGAAGAAGGCCUUCGGGUUGUAAAGUACUUUCAGCUGUGACGUUACCCACAGAAGAAGCACCGGCUAACUCCGUGCCAGCAGCCGCGGUAAUACGGAGGGUGCGAGCGUUAAUCGGAAUUACUGGGCGUAAAGCGCGUGUAGUGGCUUGUUAAGCCAGAUGUGAAAG
Molecule: ribosomal RNA, 239 nt
Filed under: uncultured bacterium
Lineage: Bacteria
Description: partial 16S ribosomal RNA
Rfam family: Bacterial small subunit ribosomal RNA
Source: RNAcentral